This 323-nucleotide ribosomal RNA is filed under the name uncultured Cercomonas. RNAcentral's name for it is "SSU rRNA". The stretch from base 104 to 323 matches the Rfam family "Eukaryotic small subunit ribosomal RNA", at positions 734 to 955 of the family's 1831-position model. The record is from RNAcentral. Lineage: Eukaryota; Cercozoa; Cercomonadida; Cercomonadidae.
GAUUUCUGGCUUGGCGCACUUAGCCCGUUGCGGUUUACGUAAUUGUGUGCUGGUGUGCGCCUUCCAUCCUUCGAGAGAACACUGCUACCCUUCACUGGGUCGGCUGUGCUAUCUCGAUCUUUUACUUUGAAAAAAUUAGAGUGUUUAAAGCAGGCUUGCGCUAUGAAUACAUUAGCAUGGAAUAAUAAUUUAGGACUUUGGUCUUAUUUUGUUGGUUUCUAGGACUAAAGUAAUGAUUGAUAGGGACAGUUGGGGGUGCUAGUAUUCAGCGGCCAGAGGUGAAAUUCUUGGAUUCGCUGAAGACUAACUUAUGCGAAAGCAUU